GUGGCCACCUUCUACCUGGAUGGUGGAGAUGGAAACCCGGCCACGGUCAUCUACGACUACAAGAAUCUCCUGGUGAGCUUCAGAUCCCAUCUCCACCGUGCCUGCUACGUCACCCGGGUGGACAAGGACAAUAUCCCUGGGCUGGAUGCCAUCGCCGAGACCUUCCAGCGCCGGCUGGCUGAGAAGAAACUGGCCGUGCCCCUGGCUGAUCGCUCCCUCCUGGGUACCACAGCGAGCAUCCUCUGCAGCAUCAUCCCCAUCUACCAAAAAGCCCCCCCCCCCAUGGGCAGGGGGCUGUCAGGGGGGGGUUGGGGGACCCCCCCGCACCCAGCAACACCCUCACACUUGUUGGAGAAAG
RNAcentral lists this long non-coding RNA (358 nucleotides) under Calidris pugnax (ruff). Its description in RNAcentral is "lncRNA (ENSCPUG00000015998.1)". The record is from RNAcentral. Lineage: Eukaryota; Metazoa; Chordata; Aves; Charadriiformes; Scolopacidae.